RNAcentral lists this ribosomal RNA (2740 nucleotides) under Cohaesibacter marisflavi. RNAcentral describes it as "bacterial LSU rRNA". It matches the Rfam family "Bacterial large subunit ribosomal RNA". The record is from RNAcentral. Lineage: Bacteria; Pseudomonadati; Pseudomonadota; Alphaproteobacteria; Hyphomicrobiales; Cohaesibacteraceae.
AGUGAUCAAGUGUCUUAAGGGCGUUUGGUGGAUGCCUUGGCGACAAGAGGCGAUGAAAGACGUGGUACGCUGCGAAAAGCCAUGGGGAGCUGCGAACAAGCUUUGAUCCGUGGAUAUCUGAAUGGGGAAACCCACCCGCAAGGGUAUCUUGGCCUGAAUAUAUAGGGUCAAGAGGCGAACGCAGGGAACUGAAACAUCUAAGUACCUGUAGGAAAGGACAUCAACAGAGACUCCGUUAGUAGUGGCGAGCGAACGCGGACCAGGCCAGUGCUUCAUAUUUUUUAACCUGAAUAGUCUGGAAAGGCUAACCGAAGAGGGUGACAGUCCUGUAGGGGUGUUAAAGAUAUGAAGACUUGAGUAGGGCGGGGCACGUGAAACCUUGUCUGAACAUUGGGGGACCACCCUCAAAGCCUAAGUACUCCUUGUCGACCGAUAGUGAACAAGUACCGUGAGGGAAAGGUGAAAAGCACCCCGACGAGGGGGGUGAAAGAGAUCCUGAAACCGAACGCCUACAAGCAGUCGGAGCCCGCAAGGGUGACGGCGUACCUUUUGUAUAAUGGGUCAGCGACUUAAUUUAUCGAGCAAGCUUAAGCCGUUAGGUGUAUGCGCAGCGAAAGCGAGUCUUAAUAGGGCGUUAGUUCGAUGGAUUAGACCCGAAACCGGGUGAUCUAGCUAUGAGCAGGCUGAAGGUGCGGUAACACGCACUGGAGGGCCGAACCCACGCCUGUUGAAAAAGGCGGGGAUGACUUGUUGCUAGGGGUGAAAGGCCAAUCAAACCCGGAGAUAGCUGGUUCUCCGCGAAAUCUAUUUAGGUAGAGCGUGGGAUGAAUACCUUGGGGGGUAGAGCACUGGAUGGGCUAGGGGGUCUCACCGACUUACCAAACCUAACCAAACUCCGAAUACCCAAGAGUACUAUCCUGCAGACACACGGCGGGUGCUAACGUCCGUCGUGGAGAGGGCAACAACCCUGACCGCCAGUUAAGGUCCCUAAGUCAUGGCUAAGUGGGAAAGGAUGUGAGGAUCCCAAAACAACCAGGAUGUUGGCUUAGAAGCAGCCAUCAUUUAAAGAAAGCGUAACAGCUCACUGGUCUAAAUAAGGGUCUUUGCGCCGAAAAUGUAACGGGGCUAAAGCCAUGCACCGAAGCUGCGGGUGUAGCUUAUGCUACGCGGUAGCGGAGCGUUCUGUAGGCUGAUGAAGGGUGACCUGUGAGGGCACCUGGAAGUAUCAGAAGUGCGAAUGCUGACAUGAGUAACGAUAAAGAGUGUGAGAGACACUCUCGCCGAAAGUCCAAGGGUUCCUGUGCAAUGCUAAUCAGCGCAGGGUUAGUCGGCCCCUAAGGCGAGGCAGAAAUGCGUAGUCGAUGGGAAUGAGGUUAAUAUUCCUCAACCAGUGGGAUGUGACGAAUUCCGGUAGUUGUAUUGUCUUAUUGGAUUGAUGAUGCAGCGUAGGAGUUCCAGGAAAUAGCACCCACAUUAGACCGUACCCUAAACCGACACAGGUGGACAGGUAGAGUAUACCAAGGCGCUUGAGAGAACUAUGCUGAAGGAACUCGGCAAAUUGCUCCCGUAAGUUCGCGAGAAGGGAGACCCGUUAGAAGGCAACUUUUAGCGGGUGGCACAGACCAGGGGGUUGCGACUGUUUAUCAAAAACACAGGGCUCUGCGAAGCCGCAAGGCGACGUAUAGGGUCUGACGCCUGCCCGGUGCCGGAAGGUUAAGAGGAGAUGUGAGAGCAUCGAAUUGAAGCCCCGGUAAACGGCGGCCGUAACUAUAACGGUCCUAAGGUAGCGAAAUUCCUUGUCGGGUAAGUUCCGACCUGCACGAAUGGCGUAACGACUUCCCCGCUGUCUCCAGCAUAGACUCAGUGAAAUUGAAUUCCCCGUGAAGAUGCGGGGUUCCUGCGGUCAGACGGAAAGACCCCGUGAACCUUUACUAUAGCUUUGCGCUGACAGUUGUGUUGGCAUGUGUAGGAUAGGUGGUAGGCUUUGAAGUUUGGGCGCCAGCUCAGAUGGAGCCAUCCUUGAAAUACCACCCUUGUUGUCAUGGCUGUCUAACCGCGGUCCGUUAUCCGGAUCCGGGACAGCGCAUGGUGGGUAGUUUGACUGGGGCGGUCGCCUCCCAAAGAGUAACGGAGGCGCGCGAUGGUUGGCUCAGACCGGUCGGAAAUCGGUCGUUGAGUGCAAUGGCAUAAGCCAGCCUGACUGCGAGACUGACAAGUCGAGCAGAGACGAAAGUCGGUCAUAGUGAUCCGGUGGUCCCGUGUGGAAGGGCCAUCGCUCAACGGAUAAAAGGUACUCCGGGGAUAACAGGCUGAUGAUGCCCAAGAGUCCAUAUCGACGGCAUUGUUUGGCACCUCGAUGUCGGCUCAUCGCAUCCUGGGGCUGGAGCAGGUCCCAAGGGUUUGGCUGUUCGCCAAUUAAAGCGGUACGUGAGCUGGGUUCAGAACGUCGUGAGACAGUUCGGUCCCUAUCUGCCGUGGGCGCAGGAGAAUUGAAAGGAGCUGACCCUAGUACGAGAGGACCGGGUUGGACGCACCUCUGGUGGACCUGUUGUGGCGCCAGCCGCAUUGCAGGGUAGCUAUGUGCGGAAGGGAUAACCGCUGAAAGCAUCUAAGCGGGAAGCCCACCUUGAGACGAGUUCUCCCUGAGAGCCGUGGAAGACCACCACGUUGAUAGGUCAGGUGUGGAAGCGCGGUAACGUGCGAAGCUUACUGAUACUAAUAGCUCGAUAGGCUUGAUUAC